AAUAGAUACCCUGGUAGUCCACGCCGUAAACUAUGGAUGCUAGCCGUCGGCAAGCUUGCUUGUCGGUGGCGCAGCUAACGCUUUAAGCAUCCCGCCUGGGGAGUACGGCCGCAAGGUUAAAACUCAAAGGAAUUGACGGGGGCCCGCACAAGCGGUGGAGCAUGUGGUUUAAUUCGACGCAACGCGAAGAACCUUACCAGCUCUUGACAUGUCAGGUCGGUUUCCAGAGAUGGAUUCCUCCCAGCAAUGGGCCUGAACACAGGUGCUGCAUGGCUGUCGUCAGCUCGUGUCGUGAGAUAUUGGGUUAAGUCCCGCAACGAGCGCAACCCUCGCCAUUAGUUGCCAUCAUUCAGUUGGGCACUCUAGUGGGACUGCCGGUGAUAAGCCGGAGAAGUGGGAUGACGUCAAGUCAUCAUGGCCCUUACGGGCUGGGCUACACACGUGCUCGAAUGGCGGUGACAAUGGGCAGCAACACAGCAAUGUGAAGCUAAUCUCAAAAAGUCCG
This 505-nucleotide ribosomal RNA is filed under the name uncultured bacterium. Its description in RNAcentral is "bacterial SSU rRNA". It matches the Rfam family "Bacterial small subunit ribosomal RNA", at positions 777 to 1285 of the family's 1533-position model. The record is from RNAcentral.